Molecule: ribosomal RNA, 484 nt
Filed under: uncultured bacterium
Lineage: Bacteria
Description: bacterial SSU rRNA
Rfam family: Bacterial small subunit ribosomal RNA
Source: RNAcentral
CUACGUGCCAGCAGCCGCGGUAAUACGGAAGGUCCAGGCGUUAUCCGGAUUUAUUGGGUUUAAAGGGAGCGUAGGCUGGAGAUUAAGUGUGUUGUGAAAUGUAGACGCUCAACGUCUGAAUUGCAGCGCAUACUGGUUUCCUUGAGUACGCACAACGUUGGCGGAAUUCGUCGUGUAGCGGUGAAAUGCUUAGAUAUGACGAAGAACUCCGAUUGCGAAGGCAGCUGACGGGAGCGCAACUGACGCUUAAGCUCGAAGGUGCGGGUAUCAAACAGGAUUAGAUACCCUGGUAGUCCGCACAGUAAACGAUGGAUGCCCGCUGUUGGUACCUGGUAUCAGCGGCUAAGCGAAAGCAUUAAGCAUCCCACCCGGGGAGUACGCCGGCAACGGUGAAACUCAAAGGAAUUGACGGGGGCCCGCACAAGCGGAGGAACAUGUGGUUUAAUUCGACGCAACGCGAGGAACCUUACCAGCGUUUGACAUC